Molecule: long non-coding RNA, 2883 nt
Organism: Pungitius pungitius (ninespine stickleback)
Lineage: Eukaryota; Metazoa; Chordata; Actinopteri; Perciformes; Gasterosteidae
Exons: 3
Source: RefSeq, a predicted model, not a curated record
UUGGGGCACUCUCUGGCCAAAUGCCCUGGUUGCCCGCACCCCCAGCAGACACUGGGUCGCGGCCGGUGCGAUUGUUGUAGUGACACCGCCCUGAUCAGUUCAGUCACUUCCGUAACCCACGAUGGUUUCUCUGCCUCUGGAGGGACCGCCAUCGCCGCCCUGGCCAUAGGUGCUCCCUCACUAUGGUAGCCUCCAGGCGCUGUACCCCACACAUUCUCUCUCUCCGCAGCCAACUCGAAAGCUGCUUGCAACGACUGUGGGUGCUGCAGCUGGACCUGGACACGCAGCUCCGUGGGAACAAGUGCCCUGAUGAACUGGUCCCGCGCCAGCUCGUUCUGCACUUCAGGGGGCAUGUGGGCAUAAGCCCUCCGUGACAAACUUUCCACAUCGUUUGCCAACGCCCGCAGCGGCUCUCCCGGUCUUCUGCAGCGAUUGUUUAGUUCAUUCCGCAGGAGUUUGACCGCCUCUGGAACGACCCUACCAGCGCUGGGUAACAACGUCUGUCUUCGGGGCUCAGCAGCAGCAGGCAUGACAGCGCAUCCACCGUGAGACACAGCGCCAGCUGAAGUGCCUUAGUCUCAUUGGACCAUUCCCCUGCAUGCGACAGCAAUUCAAAUUGAGCCAGGAAAGCCUCCCAUGGCGUCCUACCGUCGUAUUUCGGUGUUUUUACCGUAGGGACUGCCGAGCGAUGGGCGCCGCCAUUGUAGUUUGACGCUACAUUCCCCGGAGUAACCGCGGGAAAAUCCGCUGCGGGACUGAUGCCAGCGUCCCUAGCCAUCCUCACUGCAGACUCUCUCAAACGAGCCCUCGCGCCCCUAGUAGCCCCGUCGAAACUUCUGGCCAUGUCUUUCGACCACCCGCUAGCUCCCUCCUCCGCUUCUUUCCUCUCUUCCUUUACCGUAACGUAGCCGCUCGUCCCGCCGACACGAUCCAUGCCCACAGCAGGCUAACCGCUAGCUUUCCACCGGGUUCAACGAUAUCGUCCGUACGAAGACACUUCUGACACCAAUGUAACGUCCGGGCGUGGUGAAUUACUCAACACGCUGAGGCGAUUAGUUGCAGGGCAGAGAUCCUUUUAUUUAGCCAAACACAACAGCGUCGGACACGGUAUUCCCAGCUCACUCGGUAAACCACACAACAACACAACAACCGGAACUACGUCAUGCUACCCCGGCCAGACCCUCCCACGUCCCGUCCGAUUGGCCGGAGCGCCUGGAAUGACGCAACCUGACCGAGUCCCCAACAGGGUCGCUACAAUACUAACAAACCUUUCCAUAAUGUUUUCAGAUAUUCAGAGAUUGCGAGUGGCAGAAAACAUUGAAGAGUGGCCUUGAGCGUUUAUGUGGCCGCCCGUCAUGCUCUUCGAUGGUGGUCAGAUUAAUUAUUUGAGCGGGGACUUUAUGCAGUGAGAAUACGUUUUUUUCUGCUUUCGACGAAAAAGAAAGACACUGAGAUGGAAAAUGACGUCACUUUGUUUGUGCUGUAAAUUGAAGCUUUAAAAAUUCCAGUUCAUUGGAAGGAAUAACGUGACUUGUGCUUCCAGGAGAAAAUGCCACUGAGCACGGUCAGGAGGUCCGCUCAGACAAACGUAACAAACCAGCACAGUGGUGCUCGUGAACAAGAGUAGUGGAAAUGAAAAGGCCGCUCGGCCUCCUGCCUCACAUAUGAAGCCGCUAGUCACAAAGACGGGGUCAGGAGGUCAAAUAGUGCAUUUAUUUACACCUCAGCCGAGUUAUUAAGCACCUUGCUCCCCACCAGUAUUACUUAAUCUCUUUUAGAUGAUGAUGAUGAUGCAGUUUGGGUCAAACGGUGCACUUUAUCCACAAAGCUUCAUGUUCUACAAUUCUAUUUCUGACCGGUCUACUUUAAGAGCCAGUGUGACGUUGACUUUUAUCUGUAACUUCAUGUAGUUUGUAGCAUGUCUCUCCUCCUCUAACCUGAUAAUCAAAAGCUUUUUCGUAGUGCUAAGUUGGAGAAUCAUUGCCCUGUGUUGCUGAAGAUUUCAAGGUCAGAGGGGAAGCAGGAUGUGCCGAGCAUGCAAACACAAGUCUGAUAAGGAGGGAGUUAGGGACACACCAAGUACCCUACAACACACACACACUUUGGUUGUUUUGUUUACAUUACGAUUAAAAGACCCCUUGACCGACCUGACCCGGAAGGGUACGUCAGAUCCGGUCCAGUGGUCGGAGCAGCGCCAGCGGGCGUUUGAGAAGACCGACACAUCGGACAGGGGGCUGGGGGCCGUUUUGUCCGAGGAGGGAGGCCAGGUACAGCACGGUGGUCACCCUCUGUUCGGACCACGCCCCGCUCCAAUGGCUCCACCGCAUGAAGGAUACCAACGCCCGGAUCGCUCGGUGGUAUCUGGCUUUACAGCCUUUUAACUUCAAGGCGGGCCAUAGGCCGGGGAGCCGCCCCCGGCCUAAGUCGGGCGGUGGGGGUAUGUGGUGGCGGGCGUGGUUUUUGCUCGGCUGCAGAGGAGAAAGAGGGGGAGCGGCUCAGGGAACGGCGCCAGGUGAGAACAAUGAUAAUCAGGUAGAACCUGAUUGUGACGGGAGAACGGGGGCCAACGGGACUGAACGUAGCGACCGAGAGACGUCAGCGAGCAGAACAAAAACAAUAAAAAUCCAAACUCAUAACCAACCUUGCAGUCUUCUUCAUUUCCGGAACCCCUCCCCCAGAACCCAGACUUGUUACAGUCCCCAUCCAGGCUUCUCUUUUUAAGUUAUCUAACAAACCCCACGCUGAGAAGGCAGCUGCUGGUCCUACGUCGGCCGUCGUGGUGGGAAGCAGGUGGUGUCUCUGGCCCGCAGCGGAUGCCUGUACCACGGCACCGUCCAGCACGAGCUGCUCCACGCUCUGGGCUUCAACCACGAGCAGACCCGC